GAUGAAGAACGCAGCGAAAUGCGAUAAGUAAUGUGAAUUGCAGAAUUCAGUGAAUCAUCGAAUCUUUGAACGCACCUUGCACCCUUUGGUAUUCCGAAGGGUAUGCUCGUUUGAGUGUCAUUGUACUCUCACACUUCCGAUCGUUUGGAUCGGGAGCGGUGGACUUGGGUGUUGCUGCUUUACUGUGGCUCACCUUAAAUGCAUUAGUGCACCUUUCGGUUGGACAUAGUACGGCGUGAUAAGUGUCUUCGCCGGCACCUCACAGAGGGUGGCUGAUCGGGAGCUCUGUGCUUCAAACCGUCCUCGGAAAACAGCUGACAACUUGACCUCAAAUCGAGUAGGACUACCCGCUGAACUUAAGCAUAUCAAUAAGCGGAGGA
Molecule: unclassified non-coding RNA, 380 nt
Filed under: soil metagenome
Description: partial contains 5.8S ribosomal RNA, internal transcribed spacer 2, and large subunit ribosomal RNA
Rfam family: 5.8S ribosomal RNA (bases 1-120)
Source: RNAcentral